UACGGAGGAUGCGAGCGUUAUCCGGAUUUAUUGGGUUUAAAGGGUGCGUAGGCGGGCUUUUAAGUCAGCGGUAAAAAUUCGGGGCUCAACCCCGUCCGGCCGUUGAAGCUGGGGGUCUUGAGUGGGCGAGAAGAAGGCGGAAUGCGUGGUGUAGCGGUGAAAUGCAUAGAUAUCACGCAGAACCCCGAUUGCGAAGGCAGCCUUCCGGCGCCCUACUGACGCUGAGGCACGAAAGUGCGGGGAUCGAACAGG
Molecule: ribosomal RNA, 252 nt
Filed under: uncultured bacterium
Lineage: Bacteria
Description: partial 16S ribosomal RNA
Rfam family: Bacterial small subunit ribosomal RNA
Source: RNAcentral